GUAACUUCCCAAACAACAAAAACUUGUCCCUAGAUGUGGUGACUGUGAGCAGGAGUUAUUUAUAAAUUGUUACAAUGAAUUAGAAAUGUGUAAAAGUGAACUAAUAAUAAAUUUACUUUUGUAACUAAAGCUUGUUUACAAAUAUGUCUUUUGUGGUGAAUUCUGAAAAGACCUUGGCUGGGAACCAUAUAAUUUCCUUGUUUUUAUAACUUCUUUGCCUGUGGUGUAUCUUAAUCUGCUUCUAUGAGGUACUGUAGAUUUUAGAAGAUAGGCAGCCUGGAGGAAGCCAAACUUGCUUUUCCUCUGGGAUAUCAGGCUGGAAAGGAAAGCAAACUGCCUGCCACGCUGCUCGGCUUGUGCCAAGUAAUGCCUUUCAAGAGCUGGCAUGAUCCUUCCAUCUCAUUCACGUGACUUUUCUGUCUCAGACAGGCUACUGGGUGUCUCUUGCGGAAGAGGACACAAGAAAAAACACUGGAUUUCAACAGAAAAGUUGAGAAACCUGAAUUUAAGGUAUGCUAAGGAAAGUGUCACUCUCCUACCUGACAAAUGAAGGGGUUUGUCGAAGUUUAGAAGAGUUUUGAACAACAGUGCAUGGACCUGAAGUCCACGGCCGACUCCUCCUGCAAGCACCCUGCCUGCAGUUGCUUCAACCUUUGGGGUAGGAAGGAGAGUGUGUGUGUGUGUGUGUGUGUGUGAGCCUCAUGAGCUGCAUGAAGUCAAGAGCUGAGAAGCUUCCUGUUUCCUUUUUAAGGCUUAACAGAAUUUGAAAGCAGCCGCUGCUGCGACCUGGACCAAUGAUCUGGGCAGAGAGACGGGGGAGUUUCAGCUCGGCUGCGCCUGGCGCCCGUUACGAAUGCCAGCUUGGCCUUCUCCUCCCCACGUGGAGCACGGGCAAGAAGGGGCUGCCUGCAGGCCACUCCUGAGGGCAGCCAGGCUGAGAUGCAGCUGGACACCCAGUGUCUGCUCUUCCAGCAAGCGAGGGUCUCUGCCUAUUCCUGCCCCUGGGACACAUGAGCAGGGAUGUGGAUGCAGGAGUGAUGCUCUUGAGGCAAUUUCUUCUGGCUCUCUUGGAGAAAUGCUGUAAAGUGAAAUGGGAGGCAACCUGAGGCAGUCGCUCAGACUAGCAGCAGGACCGUAAGCCCAUCUUGGACGCCUGGGUUGGCUGAUGGUACGUUCAGAUGGGACCACGGGCACCCCGCACCCACGCGCUGGCUGCACUGGACGUCUGCAGCGCUGGAUAUGGUUGCAGUGCUCCGGACAUGGGUUAUGUGUCCUGGCUUGAGCGCUCUGGUCACARCCGUGCUUACAGCUUGUACUACAGCACGUGAAUUAAUACUAGAUUGUACAAAAACACUGACCRCCAUUGAGACAGAGGUGACCUAAGUUAUUUAAAUGCUUCCUGGAAAAUGCUAAAGAUUAUUGAACAAAAAUAGCCACUGCAUUGUAAUAUGAAAGGAGGGAUGCAGUUUUUUAUUAGUAAUAAUGAAUGUUUGUCCUAUAAUCUGUGAAAACAAUUUGGGUCACCACUGUCUAGCAAGUAAAACAUCUUGAAGGGAGCCUUUAUUUGAAGGCUAACCUCCAUGUUUAAUUUUUUCCAGACUCUACUAUAAAUAGUYUCCGUGUGACAUGAUACUGGGCUGUCAUAUCCAUCCAUACUGUGUGUCUUCUAAAGGCACCCGGGCAAAGGGAGCCCUUCUUUGUGGGCACUUGCAAAGUGUGCCAGAUAUGGGACAGAAGAGAAACACUUGCCUGUGUAAAAGAACUAAAAGCAACAAAAUAAACCCAUCCCAA
This is a long non-coding RNA of Apteryx rowi (Okarito brown kiwi), 1791 nucleotides long. The record is from Ensembl. NCBI's taxonomy places the organism in Eukaryota, Metazoa, Chordata, Aves, Apterygiformes, Apterygidae.